This 460-nucleotide ribosomal RNA is filed under the name uncultured bacterium. Its description in RNAcentral is "partial 16S ribosomal RNA". It matches the Rfam family "Bacterial small subunit ribosomal RNA", at positions 338 to 795 of the family's 1533-position model. The record is from RNAcentral.
CCUACGGGUGGCUGCAGUGAGGAAUAUUGGUCAAUGGUCGUAAGACUGAACCAGCCAAGUCGCGUGCAGGAUGACGGCCCUCUGUGUUUUAAACUGCUUUUGUAUGGGGGAAAAAUGCGUCACGUGUGAUGGUUUGUAGGUACCACAUGAAUACAGACCGCGUAAUUCCGUGCCAGCGGCCGCGGUAAUACGGAAGGUCCGGGCGUUAUCCGGAUUUAUGGGGUUUAAAGGGAGCGUAGGCCGCAGGUUAAGCGUGCCGUGAAAUGCCGUGGCUCAACCGUGGAACUGCGGUGCAAACUGGACGGCUGGAGUGCGGGGAAGGUAUGUGGAAUUCGUGGUGUAGCGGUGAAAUGCUUAGAUAUCACGAAGAACACCGAUUGCGAAGGCAGCAUACGGAAGCGCUACUGACGCUGAAGCUCGAAGGCGCGGGUAUCGAACAGGAUUAGAUACCCCGGUAGUC